ACUGACACCAGAGGAGAUCUGCAGCACUAUCAGUUCCACUGGGCAUUCAGCCCUCUACAUCCGCCUGAAGCCUCCUGCGCAAGUGAAGACCAGAGAGAAAGUGCCACAGAGAAAAGAUGCUGCUACAGAUUCUCCGUCCACAGAUCAAACCAGCCUGAACACAAGAGAUCAGUCUGACAGCAGUAGGUCUGGCAGACCUCAGGUCAGUGA
Micropterus salmoides (largemouth bass) is the source of this 210-nucleotide long non-coding RNA. RefSeq lists it as uncharacterized. NCBI's taxonomy places the organism in Eukaryota, Metazoa, Chordata, Actinopteri, Centrarchiformes, Centrarchidae. The transcript is spliced from 3 exons. The record is from RefSeq and is a predicted model, not a curated record.